This 253-nucleotide ribosomal RNA is filed under the name uncultured bacterium. Its description in RNAcentral is "partial 16S ribosomal RNA". It matches the Rfam family "Bacterial small subunit ribosomal RNA", at positions 524 to 776 of the family's 1533-position model. The record is from RNAcentral.
UACGAAGGGGGCUAGCGUUGCUCGGAAUCACUGGGCGUAAAGGGUGCGUAGGCGGGUCUUUAAGUCAGGGGUGAAAUCCUGGAGCUCAACUCCAGAACUGCCUUUGAUACUGAAGAUCUUGAGUUCGGGAGAGGUGAGUGGAACUGCGAGUGUAGAGGUGAAAUUCGUAGAUAUUCGUAAGAACACCAGUGGCGAAGGCGGCUCACUGGCCCGAUACUGACGCUGAGGCACGAAAGCUAGGGGAGCAAACAGG